This 485-nucleotide ribosomal RNA is filed under the name uncultured bacterium. RNAcentral describes it as "bacterial SSU rRNA". It matches the Rfam family "Bacterial small subunit ribosomal RNA", at positions 8 to 484 of the family's 1533-position model. The record is from RNAcentral.
AGAGUUUGAUCCUGGCUCAGAUUGAACGCUAGCGGGAUGCCUUACACAUGCAAGUCGAACGGCAGCGCGGGCUUCGGCCCGGCGGCGAGUGGCGAACGGGUGAGUAAUGCAUCGGAACGUACCCAGUAGUGGGGGAUAACCACGCGAAAGCGUGGCUAAUACCGCAUACGCCCUUAGGGGGAAAGGGGGGGGAUCCUUCGGGACCUCUCGCUAUUGGAGCGGCCGAUGUCGGAUUAGCUAGUUGGUGGGGUAAAGGCCUACCAAGGCGACGAUCCGUAGCUGGUUUGAGAGGACGACCAGCCACACUGGGACAUGAGACACGGCCCAGACUCCUACGGGAGGCGGCAGUGGGGAAUUUUGGACAAUGGGGGAAACCCUGAUCCAGCCAUCCCGCGUGUGCGAUGAAGGCCUUCGGGUUGUAAAGCACUUUUGGCAGGAAAGAAAUAGGCCUGGCUAAUACCUGGGUUGUAUGACGGUACCUGCAG